GACGAACGCUGGCGGCGUGCUUAACACAUGCAAGUCGAACGGAAAGGCCCUGCUUGCAGGGUACUCGAGUGGCGAACGGGUGAGUAACACGUGGGUGAUCUGCCCUGCACUUCGGGAUAAGCCUGGGAAACUGGGUCUAAUACCGGAUAGGAGCCAUUUUUAGUGUGAUGGUUGGAAAGUUUUUUCGGUGUAGGAUGAGCUCGCGGCCUAUCAGCUUGUUGGUGGGGUAAUGGCCUACCAAGGCGGCGACGGGUAGCCGGCCUGAGAGGGUGGACGGACACAUUGGGACUGAGAUACGGCCCAGACUCCUACGGGAGGCAGCAGUGGGGAAUAUUGCACAAUGGGCGCAAGCCUGAUGCAGCGACGCCGCGUGGGGGAUGACGGCCUUCGGGUUGUAAACUCCUUUCGCUAGGGACGAAGCUUUUGUGACGGUACCUAGAUAAGAAGCACCGGCUAACUACGUG
Molecule: ribosomal RNA, 464 nt
Filed under: uncultured bacterium
Lineage: Bacteria
Description: partial 16S ribosomal RNA
Rfam family: Bacterial small subunit ribosomal RNA
Source: RNAcentral